Molecule: long non-coding RNA, 479 nt
Organism: Oreochromis aureus
Lineage: Eukaryota; Metazoa; Chordata; Actinopteri; Cichliformes; Cichlidae
Source: Ensembl
GUUAUCUGCUUUAGGCUACGUGUUUGAGAAUUAUACCACGGAGUCAGGUACUUCGGAUUUGAGACCUUAGUUUUCACAGGAGCUACAGUAUCCAGAGUCGUACGUAGUGAGGAGGUAAAAUUAUUAACAAGAUAAUCGACCUCUGUUGGAGUAGCGUUCAGAUAGCUGCUCUGCUCUGUGUUGGUACAGGGCAUUGAAGAUGAUAACAGUGGGUGGAUUAUAUUCUUAAACUUAGUUACAGCGCUUUCAGAAAGACAUCUACUGUGAUAAAGUCUACUCUCCACUGCUGUGUAAUCAAUUAUUGUAAAUGUAAAUGUUAUCAGGAAAUGAUCAGACAGCAGAGGGUUUUCAGGAAACACUGUUAAAUGUUCAGUUUCUAUGCCAUAUGUUAAAAUAAGAUCUAGAGUGUGAUGUGGGUUCUUUUGCAUUUUGAGAGAAGCCAAUUGAGUCUAAUAACAGAUUAAAUGCCAUGUUGAAGC